This 92-nucleotide microRNA precursor is filed under the name Tursiops truncatus (common bottlenose dolphin). RNAcentral's name for it is "miRNA (ENSTTRG00000024205.1)". It matches the Rfam family "Eukaryotic large subunit ribosomal RNA", at positions 1424 to 1515 of the family's 3401-position model. Lineage: Eukaryota; Metazoa; Chordata; Mammalia; Artiodactyla; Delphinidae. The record is from RNAcentral.
CAGGUGGAGCCGCUGCAGGUGCAGAUCUUGGAGAUAGUAGCACAUAUUCAGAUGAGAACUUUGAAGGCCAAAGUAGAGAAGGGUUGCAUGGG